AACGUAGGUGGCGAGCGUUAUCCGGAUUCACUGGGCGUAAAGGGCACGCAGGUGGUCUUGUAGGUAGGGCAUGAAACCUCCCGGCUUAACUGGGAGACGCUGUCCUAAACCACAAGACUUGAGGCUGAGAGAGGGAAGUGGAAUUGCCGGUGUAGUGGUGAAAUGCGUAGAGAUCGGCAGGAACACCAGUGGCGAAGGCGGCUUCCUGGCUCAGACCUGACACUCAUGUGCGAAAGCUAGGGGAGCGAACGGG
Molecule: ribosomal RNA, 253 nt
Filed under: uncultured bacterium
Lineage: Bacteria
Description: partial 16S ribosomal RNA
Rfam family: Bacterial small subunit ribosomal RNA
Source: RNAcentral